GUGAGCGAAGAAGUAUCUCGGUAUGUAAAGCUCUAUCAGCAGGGAAGAAAAUGACGGUACCUGACUAAGAAGCCCCGGCUAACUACGUGCCAGCAGCCGCGGUAAUACGUAGGGGGCAAGCGUUAUCCGGAUUUACUGGGUGUAAAGGGAGCGUAGACGGAGAGGCAAGUCUGAUGUGAAAACCCGGGGCUCAACCCCGGGAGUGCAUUGGAAACUGUUUAUCUGGAGUGCCGGAGGGGUAAGUGGAAUUCCUAGUGUAGCGGUGAAAUGCGUAGA
This 276-nucleotide ribosomal RNA is filed under the name uncultured bacterium. Its description in RNAcentral is "partial 16S ribosomal RNA". It matches the Rfam family "Bacterial small subunit ribosomal RNA", at positions 401 to 694 of the family's 1533-position model. The record is from RNAcentral.